CUUCAGAAAAGCUUUGCAACAGGUGACAUUGUCCUUGAGCCUGAAAGGCCAUACCAAGCAUUUUUAGAGUGCAAGAGCCAUUUUAAAUCUUCUGUAAGUCAUGUUAUGUACUACCCAUUGUAGUCUAACUAACAUUAGUCUAAUGGGUUAAAAUUCAUUGUUUUUUCCAGAGAGUUUUGCAUAUGUUUCUAACUUUGAUCCAUAGGCUAUUCAAACUAAAACUGCCUUUCCUUUACUUUUUUUUUUUCCUCUGUAUACCACAUACACUGUUCGGAAUGCAGCAGUCAGAGGUGCUUUUUAUAUACUCAGCUCAAAAGCAUUAGCUUAUAAGAAAAGGCAUGCUACAUGUAGUGUAUAGGUUAGUUUAACUGCUUGCUUAACCACAUUGAUUGUGAAAUGCUGAACUCUACCCAGCUCACACAUCAGCAGAAGCUUGCGACUUUUAGAGUUUGGUUUAGGAUUUGUUUUUAUUUGUCUCUGUUGGAAGAAAUAAAACAUAUAACUUGAGCCAAAUUCCAGUGCUUUGCUCUAAGUUUUAAUAGUGCAUGCCAUCUAAAAUGAACCAAAAUGCCAAGCAAUAAAACACUGAAUAUUCCUCAAUGCAUAAUUUUCUUAUUUUGGUAAUCAGGCUCUAGAGUGAUAGUAAUUAAAAUAAUCUAAAACAUAAGCUUUUGAUAGCUAACCCCUUAGGACAGAUCCCUUACCUCUGCAUGAAAAAAAAUGUCUUGUCAUGACUCUUAGCCAUUUCUUAAGCCCUACUUACAACUCCAUGAUUAUCACUAAAGAUUCAGAUUUUAAACUGCAUUAUUCUCCCUAAUCUCCUGUUAAAUGUGACAAAUGCACUUCAUCUAUUUAUAAAGAUGAAUAUGUAUCAAAUAUGAGCAAGUCGUAUUAGGACACAAUUUUUUUGGAUCUGAAUUAGAAGGAUUAGCUAUUAUAUUUAUAAAGCUUCCUGGACUGUUACAGUAAACACUUCUUUGCUUAACAAAUUUAGAUGACAAUUUUCUAAAUAAACCUGCAGGUCAUUCAAUUGUAUUUUUAGAGUGAAUUCCAGAAACAAAUAUAAGGAAUUCUUUCUGGCACAUGAAAUGGUCAUCUUUUUUUAGAAAGAACCACAUACGCAUAUUUCACAUGGACUCUCCGAAGAGGAUUUUGCCUUUGAAAAUAUUAAUUGGAAGAUUUUCUCAAUGCUUUACAUCAGUUUAUGCAAAUAAGGCAAAAGAAGCAGAACCAUUUAUACCAUGAUUCAGCCAGUAGUCUGCUGAAAAUGUAAGAUGACAAGAACAUGCAGUGAUUCACAGUGGCUCCAGGACUUCCUGGGAUUACUGGGAGCUCUGAUUUUUUGAGCAGCAGUAGGUAAAGGCAAUGAAGAGAACUGGUCAGUAAACACAGAAGGAAGAUCUUUGCAGUUCUUCAAUACCUGUCUAGGAAAAGGCCAGAAGAAAUCUAUGUUAGAAAGGCCUAGAGGAAAGCUAUCACAGAUUCUGACUAGGCAAUGAAAGGAUCCAGAAAACCUACUAGUGCAAAUAUUUGCACUAUGGGAAUGUGACCCAGGCUUAAGUCCAGGAAAAACUUUAGACCCAGCUUUGGUUGUAGCUAAUGCGAGAACUGGAAAGAGCUAAGACCACAGAAAUCUUCCAAGAAACAGAGAAAGAAGAUGCAAGAAAAAAGCAGCUACAUUUCCUCAAGACUUUCCUCAUGACUUCAAGAAAUUCAGUGGCUGCUACUAUUGCUAGCUGGCUCAAUCUUCUCAAUUUUGUAAUAUAUCUGCUUCAGUGACAGAUGAGGGAGUAGUGCUUUUGCUCUCAAAUGUUUCCCUAUGACCCUCAGUCUAGGACUCUUUCUAAGACCUGACAGAAAGUUAAAUAAAACAAUGCACUUAUUUGAACAAUACACAAAUCUAUGCAAGUAUUGUACAUCCAACAUUUAAAAUGAAUGGCUGGAAUUUUCUGCUAGAAAAGCAAAUCUUAAGCAGAACUUACCCCCUACCCAGACCCACCAUCCCAUAACUAGCAACACCAUCUACUGGGUUUAAAAAAAGGUGGAUCCAAUAGGCACUGGGAGCUGCAAGAUGCAAAGGAUGCAGCAAAUCUACAAAUUAUGGCACUGGAACACCUUACCAGUAAGUCAGCUACCCAGAACAUUUGGAGUGACUAGAAAAUAGUAUUUUUCAGAGACUGGUGGAAACAGGAAAGACUUCUUAGCACACAGCAAAAUGUUGAGGAGCAUGCUAGAAUCCCAGACGUUCCUCAGUGAGUUUGCCAUAAUAAUUAUCAAUCAGCAGUAAGAAAAAUAAGUUAGCUUGCAGAAGAGAUUUUUCUAUGACAUAAGCUUUAGAAAGAUUCAAUACACUCAGGAGAUAAAUACAAUUGAUAUAAAGUAGCUGUUUAAAUGCAGAUUAUCUAAUUUUAAAUAUUAUGUUUAUGUCAAAAAAAUGAAAGAGUAAAACAAAAGCAUUUGGAAUUAAAAAGUGGAAAUUUUUCUAGGGCCUUAUUCUCUCCUUUAUGGCAUUUUGUGUACUCAUUCAUUUCUCUGCAAACCAGAAGUAAAACUAAGAUUCUCUACUCAGUAUUUCGGACAGUCAUUUGCACUAGUUUUCUGUUAUCUAAAAGACAUUAGUGGCAUGACAAGGUGAGAGCUGAUUUCUAUUUGCAAGUUACACAUGUAACUUUGUGUGUGCAUUUAUGUGUGUUUUUGAGACAAUCAGAAUUUUGCUCAAGAUUCAACUGAUUGUAUAUUCUUUUGUCUGAAAGAUAAACUCUUUCAGCUCUCAGUUUAAAAAGUAAAAACUAAGACUGCUUAGUUAUUUUGCAGUAAGAAACCCAAUAUUUAAACAGAGUAAUCAUCAGUAAUCAUUAGUCACAGAAGAUGUUAAUUAUUAAAGAUGAUUAGGGCCUGAGGAAGUUCAACAUUAAACUGAUGUUCACAGUGAAUUAUUUCUUUUUGCAAUAAUGUUUUUCAAACAUCUGGAUUCUUACAGAAAUCCUGCAGCACUAAGUAUGAUAAUUUUGUAAUAACAUACAAGGAGUAGAUAGGCACUAUAGAGAGUAGAAUUAAAGCUAAAGCUUUGAAAAUAAUUUAUUUACACAACUACCUUAUUGUUACUCAUGUAAGGUGGUUCACAGGUAAAGCUGAUACUGUAAAGGAAAAUUUGUGAUUUAUAGAUAAAAAGAAAGUUCAGAACUUGUGCAGCUCAGUGGCUCUGAAGGAGCCCAUUGACAGAUUAAGGUCCUUAAACCAUCAUAAUCAGAUACAACUCUCGUGUCUCAUAACUCUCUUAACAGCAGGUGGAAAGGCUGCAUAUCUGCAAAUACCUUAUAACCAUUAACUGCUGGUCAGAUUGAAUAAGGCCAGCCUUCUACACACUGUACUCUUUUCAUACUAGCUCUAUUCACAGCUUAGGUCCAUAACAUUUUAUGUUAAUUCCUCAGAACAAAAAUUGGUGGAAGAAAACUACCAUGGUUCCCUGCUAAGCAUGUGCAAUUAAACUGCCGUCUAUUUGUUAAAUUUUAACAUGCAGAGCUAUGCACUGCAACAACUGCAAAGCCAACAUUCCUUUGGUUCUGCUGCCUUGUUAUGGGACAGGCACUGCCAGCUGAGCAGUAGAGCAGACAGAUGCAGUAAACUCUUUCAGUGACUUCUCAGGAAAUUCAUCUACAAGGUCCCUACAGCCAUGGCCAAACACUUCAGAAACAGAUGUGAUAGUUUUAAGGUGGUUGGUUUUUUGGGGGGUUUUGGGUUUUUUUUUGUUUUGUUUUUGUUUUUUGUUUUUUGUUUUUACCAUUGCCAAGUCCCAGCAAGUAAAACAGACUUCUUAAGCCGGCUGGGUUAGGCUGAACCACCUUCGAUGACAGUUAAAGAUGACUGAAUUUGCUACGCCACCAGGUCUGUGUUGGAAGGUACCUGCAGUUUGAUCACAUUAAGGCCUCUAAGGGGAUGGAGCACACCCAACAGCUGCAGAGCUGUUGGCAGAGAGGGGCUAUGGAAGAAAGCAGGCAAUGGAAUUAUCAAAGAUUUUUCUGCUACAAUCUAGCAAGCAGAGAUCCUAUCAGGAGUUAAAUCUGGAAGUGUUAAAACUUGGUUAGAUAUGUAGAUUUUCACACAAAUAACAAAAAGCACCUGCUCAACAGGCAGGCCACUUUGCUGCCAACAUCAAAAUCUCUUCCAAGCCUUUGGGUCAUUCCACCAUUUCAAAGGAAAAUGUUGCCAGACCUUUGUUUUUUAAUGUGGACAAUAUAGCACAUUGUCCCCCUGCCUAAUUUUUCAAAAACGUUUAUCACAUUUAUACGCUGUAAACACAAAACAUUUCUGGUGUAAGUUCUCUUCUUUGUAAUAGCUAAUGUAUUAGUAAUGUAAAUCAUUCUACAAAGAGUGGGUCAAAGUUUGUUUUCCAAGUUUCAUGGUUUCUUUUUAAACAAAUGUAUCUUCAAAACUUAACUAAAUGAUCCUGCAGAAAUGGUAAAGGCAUUCAUCGCUGCCUGUUAUUACUUGAUUUUCAUGGCAUAAAUAGCUAUUUUUGUAAAGGAUUGCUAUGGUAUUCAGAAUUAGUCAAACUAAGUCCCAGACUCUAUCGCACCUGGAUAUUGAGUGAAGCAACAUAAUUUACAGCAAGCAAUACUUAUUUACAAUAUUGAAAUGGUGGGACUUUAGAAAGUGCCAACACAUUAAUCCUGCACAAUCUGAGGCUUAAAAUUUCUCUUUCCGUUAAUUAUAUUCUUCAUAUGCAAGAAAUAUACUUAAUGUUAUGGGAUUACAAGCAGAAAUACCACAACACACGCUGGUGUAAAAUUAGAACACUUUUAGAAUUUCCUCUUAGUAAGUUUUUAAAUGCCAGACUAUACAUCACUUAGCACUCUUCAGUCUUCGAAACCUAGUAAAUCAUUUGAUAUCCAAAAAGUUUUUAACUACCUGAGCUUUAACUGAUGAGUUCAUAUGUACACCAGUCAGAGAUGCAAGUAAAGAAUUUGAUUGGAAAUUAGCGAGCAUGACACUGAAAGUGUGGUUUGUUGUUGGGGCAAAGUCAAUACGUUGACUAGCUGCUGUCAUAGCAGGUUUCCCUUGCCUCUGGCCACAUGUUCUCACCUCCUGCCUUGUGAACCAGCAUCAGUGCUUCUCUGAUCCUCUGCAGUAAAUUCAGGGAGUAAGUUCAGGGAGUGAACCAACCCAGAGAUUAUCCUUACAUAAAAGGGAAAUCAUCUUCUGUCAGAUUAGUUCCCUGAACUAUCCCUAGAGAGAGGCAGGAAGCUGAAGAUCAAGAGGAGAGUUCUCAUCAGGAGUAGCUCUCAGACUGGCUUAGCCAGAUAAGCAAACUGCACACUGAGAGUACCACGAAACCAAGUAGAAGUGAUGUAGCUUUAAUGCUUUUACAAAAAGUUUACUGUAUGCAUGACAAAAAAUAUGGAUGAUGCUAUUAUUCGCUUUAAACUGUAGCAGAAAAAGAGAGAGAGAUUUUGGGUUGAGGGGUGACCAAAGCCAAAACUACGCUUCCAAGCCUUUAGUCUUCUCUGUGGUUGGAUUAUUAAUAUAUCUAUAAAGUAUUAUCCAAUAAGACUCAGUCAUUACCAUGAGUGAUGAAAAGGCAGCAAACACAGCACAUAGAAAUAAAUUAUUCUUGAUGUAUCAUGAAAUAAUUUACAAGGCUUGCUGCAGCUGUGAUGUGCUAAAUAUGAUCUUUUUUUUUAACUACCAAAAGAAUACUUUAGAAUCAUAGAAUUUAAUUUGAAAAGGACCACCACAAGAUCCUAAUCCAGCCUCCAGCUCAACGUUUGACUAACUUCUAAGUUAUAGCAGGUUGCUCUGGGAGCUCUCUGGUAAGAUUUAAAUUCCACCCACCCCAGCCUUCUCCUCAGGCUGAAUCAACCCUGUUCCCCUAGUGUCUCCUUGUACACCUUGUUCCAGCCCCCAAAUCACCUUGGUGGUCCUCUGUUGGUCUCUCUCUAGUUUGUUGGUAUCUCUAGGGGACCGAAAACUGGACACAGUAUUCCAGAUGCUGCCUCACAAGUGCUGGUAAGAGGGGAAUAAUUACUUAUCCAGUUGGCAAAACUCUUGCUAAUGGAGUCCAGUAUGUAGUUAGUGCUCAUUGCUGCAAGGGCACAAUGCUGACGGUUCAACUUGUUUUCUACUGGGAUGCCCAGUCCUUUUCUGCAGAGCUGAUGCCUAGCCAGUCAGUCUGACUCUUCCAUUGCUUAAGAUUAUUCCACCUAGGUGGAAGACUGCAUUUGUCUUUGUUGGAUUUCAUUAUGUUCCUGUCAGCCCAUUCCUUCAGCUUAUCAAGGUUCAUGUGAAUGCCAGGCCUGCCCUUCUAUGCAUUCACUCCCCCUCAUGUUGACCUCAUUUGAACUUGAUGAUGCUUCAUUCCACCUCACUGUUCAGAUUGCUGCAGAGGUUAAAAAGAAGCAGCCCUUACACUGAUCACUGAGAACUGCUACUUAAAACUGGCUGCCAGUUAGAUUUUGAAGCAUUGACCAUUUUCCUUUUGAGCCUGAUGGUCUAGCCAGCCUUGUAGCGUACCCAUCCAGCCCUUAUCUCCCCAUUUGGGCUAUCAAGAUGCUAGGGGAGAAAAUGUUGACAGCCUUGCUGAAGAAGGCUCUCUCUUCAUUUUGCACUCUCCUCCUCCACAGAACCUGACAUAUCACCACAGAAGCCAACCAGGUUGCCAGGCACAAUUUGCCUGAGCAACUUUGUCUUCCAAGAACCAUGUAAAGUCCCUCAUAAAACUAAGCUUUGUAUUAUGCUGAUUAUUUUAAUAUCAUGCAGUACACUAAAUAACAUCUAGAAAAUGAAUGAGACUUACUUACAUGUUUGUUAAGGAAAAUGUUAUGACUAUACCUUCACAGCCUUCUUAUCAGUUUGUCUUAUGAUCAAUACUGAAUUGUUUAUAAGAAAUAGGGGGAAAAAUUACGGAACUGGCUUUUGUUGCAUCAGUGUUUCCUUGUUCCUGAUUCAUAUAUAGUGCGAGGUUCUGCUCAGAGAAGUACUGACUGCAUCUUUUUAUUUUUAGAUUUGUAUAAAGCAGCUGCCUUUGUAACUAACCCCUUCUAUACUAUGUGGUGUGUCAAUUCUCAUUUUUCAUGUUGUAGUUCACUCUGAUACCUGUUUACACACUCCAUAUAUAAGAACCACUCAGGUGAACAGCACCGUGUGAAAUGUAGACUGCCACCAGUACAGCUCAUAAGAAAAACUGUUAAGAAAAUACACUUGAAACUAAGCACAUAUCACCAUGUGGGAGAUCUAUCUGUGUAUAAAAUAUGAAUCCCAUUGCGGUUAUGAAAUUGCUGUAUCAUUAAAUACCUCAGAGGAUGUGAAGUCAACCAUAUGCUGUCAGGGCUGAGUCAUGUGUGUCUCAGCCAUGGGACUGUGGAAGACAUCCCACCCUAGCGGCUCCUACUCAAGAGGGAAAAUAUUAGGACAAGGGAGUGCCUGAGCCAGACAGCAAUCAGUUCAUCCAAACUCUUCCAGUAAGACCAGAGUUUGGCGUUGUGGAAUUUCCCCAAAAGCUGAAAGGAAGAUCACGUGUUAUGACCAAACCCCCAAAACUACAGAAACUCACAGCUUUGGGAACUGCAGUGAAUCACAGAUUGACAGAAAACUUAUGCAGGGAAGAGGAACAGAGAGGCAUGCUUUCCUUACUGUAGGCCUGCCAAGUGAGAAGGAAAUUGGCUUCAGAAUACAGAAACAGAUAUGCAUGCAAUAUAAUUUAGAAAAGUUACGUACAGAAAUGGAUGACACAGAGGGCAAGGACUAAACCCAAAAUGAUGUUCGAAACUGAGGAAAGGAAGUACACACUGCAUGUUUAGUGCUUUCUCAUCUGUAUGGUAUUUUGUGCCAGCUAAUGUAAAGAGUCAUUGAUUUUACGGAAUUUUUACCACAUCUGCGCUUGUCUGCUUCAGAUAUCAUCUAAGAGGUGAAUUGUAAACAAUGAGUGAGGAAAACAGGAGCUAAAGAAAAAGACAGGCUUAGUACUUCAGGGAACCUAGGUACACAGUUGUUAGUACUCAUCCUGGGGGGGUCUUACGGAAGUAGCCAAAGUCUUGUGUUUGCCAAGGGGUAGAAGUCAAAAAAUCCUGGCUAGAAAAUAAACCAGAGGCAAAUCUUCUGCCUCCAACUUGGACCAAGUAAAGUGUAAAGGUAUAUGGGCUCAGUGAGAUAAAAGUGAAACAAAGCAAUCCAGUCGGCUUCCAGCUGAUGGAACAUUAACAGGCCUGUGACACACCUGUGUUUCUUCUUGGUAUCUCAAUUUGAAAAUCACAGGUCCUUUGUCCAAUUUUUACGUUUAAUAAAAACCAACCUAGUUUUGGCGAUUUUAGCAAAAGCUCUAUGCAAUUAUACUUACAAAAUGGCUCCUCAUUGCUUUAGUGUAUCAUUCAUUAGUCAAAUAAAUUUGCCAAAAUUUGAGUUAUUAUUCAUGUCUUUAUCUGGAAACACCAGAGGGAAAUUUCCUGCCUGAGAUAGCUGCCCGUUCUUGAUGAAAAUGCAUAUUCUUCAGCACAUUGUAAAAUUACACAUUAGCUACUAAACUGCAAUUUCAAACAAAUUGUAGAUAUACAGAGAAUGAGUCUCCAGAAGAUAUGGACAGCAUUCACACCUGUUUUCCUAACAUCAUAGGUAACUAAUUCUGUCCUUGACUUCCUUACUCAUCAGUAUUAUUUGACUCUUACUUUUCAGAAGAGUCAUAUGCAUUUUUAAUAUUUUCAGCCCCUCCUCAUUAUUAUGUGUUCUUAAGACAGAAGUAUCAGGGUGCAUUGUCUUAUACUGCCUUCUGAUUUUCUGGGCAGAGAAUCACAAGCAGAAACUUUGGAAAUCACACAUUAGCACAAUGUUCAAGCUAAACUGUGUCCAAAUAGCUUUGACUGCCAUGCACUUCAAAGCACUGGCAAGCCAUCCUGCAGUAUUCUUCCAAGCUUUGAUUGAUUUCCACUGUGGUGAAUCAUGACCAUAAAAGAAGCUGCAUGACUACUUUUUUUUCCCCUCCAUGCAGGAAACAAUAAAACAUUAAUAAAAAAUAAGGUCAGAAGAGAACUAUAGAACUGUUCUUCAGUGAGAUCUAAGUGGCCAGUUUUUUCCACCUGGGACAUAUAGUCAAAACAUUUGUUAAUACAGAAGCAUAAUUUGCCCACUGUGACUCACAUGCUAAAAUUCUAGAUACAGAUUUAACCCACUCCUAACUCUUUGCCAAAUGACUAGGCAUGAAUCUCUUCAGUUUGGUGCAACUCAUUCCAGAGCAUUCAAUUUUCUCUAUGAAAUCUACAGUGGACUUAUUACUUGGAACAAAUUUUAAGGUAUGUCAAAAUCCUUGUCUCUUACCUCAUAGAAAAUUCAACAUUUUAUAAGAAUAGACAUCAAAGUUAAUGAAGGAAUUAUUAAUGUAUAUAAUCAGUUUGCCUCAUCACAACUUCUAAUACAGAGGUUAUGAAAUAUUUGUCUUUCUUUUAAAAGGUAUUUCAAGGACUGUCAGUGGAUUCACAGUAAAAGAGAAGAUCUGAAUGUCCUCAAACAAAAUAUACAUCUUUGGAUCCAAAUUUUAGAAAACAAACCAGUCUUUAAAUUGUAUGAAAAAGACACAUCUGUUUGCCAAAUCUUUGUAAAAUAUUUUUUCUCUACAAGUAUCUCCUUUACAGCAUUUUACUUAUUUGCUUACAGAUUUAAACAUGUUUUUGAUCCCAACCGUAUAAAAAAAAAAAAUGUGCUUCUCACAGUGUAAGAGAUGCUCUAUCAAAUCCCAACAUCAAGUCUCUUUCUUUCAGGGAAAAAAAGAGUUAAGAUAUAUGUAAACCACAUACUCAUAUAGUUACAGUAAAAUAGUCUAGACCCACUUACAGUACUCGGAAUAGUACAGGAUGCAUUUUAAAUUUUCUUUUCUUUUCUUUAAUAAGAUUAUUUGAGUAUAAAUCUGAAUCUCAAGAGAAAAUAGUACAGGAUGCAUUUUAAUUUUUUUUCUUUUCUUUAAUAAGAUUAUUUGAGUAUAAAUCUGAAUCUCAAGGGAGAAGAAGGAAGAAAAGCAAAGUUGAGUAAAAUAUGAAGUGCAGAUAUCCUUUGGAACUGUAUGUGUUCAUUUAGGAAAAAAAGGGCACCUCAGGAUGGCAAACUCAACAUCUGAGAUGAAAAUCUUUCACUGAAUUAUCAUUUUUGUUUACCAAAAGGCUGCAGCAAAUACUGUGUACUAGCUUUUAGGAAAAAUAUGUCUUAAAGAUCAGAUAGUCAAAGACAGGCAUGAAAAUAUCAGGAAGUUCAAGAUUUUGUGAAGCUUUAGAUUUCACCUUCUUUGUCCAGUCUAUUCCAUAAAAUUAAAAAAAUUGGGAUUUUUUGGAAAAUGUAAUUAGAGAUUGUACCACAGUGCACAUUCAUAGGGCUCCCUCCCUCUUCUUACUUGCUUUAAAAACCCCGAGAAGUCUUGCAUUUCAGCUUUAAAACUUACCUAACUGUAGUUUUUUGGGCUAAGUAAUCAGCUGAUGUUCAGGAUUUUCGGCAACUGUUUCUACUGGGGGAAUAAGUGAUGACAGAAAAAAUAAAUCCCAGAACUCCUACUUAUCUACCAUAAAUGUACACUAAAUAACAGUAAUAAUAAAACACAAUGAAAAUGA
This is a long non-coding RNA of Dromaius novaehollandiae (emu), 10580 nucleotides long. RefSeq lists it as uncharacterized. NCBI's taxonomy places the organism in Eukaryota, Metazoa, Chordata, Aves, Casuariiformes, Dromaiidae. The transcript has 5 exons. The record is from RefSeq and is a predicted model, not a curated record.